UACGAAGGGGGCUAGCGUUGUUCGGAAUUACUGGGCGUAAAGCGCGCGCAGGCGGUUUUCCAAGUCAGUGGUGAAAGCCCGGAGCUCAACUCCGGAACUGCCAUUGAAACUGUUGAACUUGAGGACGAGAGAGGUGAGUGGAAUUCCCAGUGUAGAGGUGAAAUUCGUAGAUAUUGGGAAGAACACCGGUGGCGAAGGCGGCUCACUGGCUCGUUUCUGACGCUCAGGCGCGACAGCGUGGGGAUCAAACAGG
This 253-nucleotide ribosomal RNA is filed under the name uncultured bacterium. Its description in RNAcentral is "partial 16S ribosomal RNA". It matches the Rfam family "Bacterial small subunit ribosomal RNA", at positions 524 to 776 of the family's 1533-position model. The record is from RNAcentral.